AGUGAACGCUGGCGGUAGGCCUAACACAUGCAAGUCGAACGGCAGCACAGUAAGAGCUUGCUCUUACGGGUGGCGAGUGGCGGACGGGUGAGGAAUACAUCGGAAUCUACUUUUUCGUGGGGGAUAACGUAGGGAAACUUACGCUAAUACCGCAUACGACCUACGGGUGAAAGCAGGGGAUCUUCGGACCUUGCGCGAUUGAAUGAGCCGAUGUCGGAUUAGCUAGUUGGCGGGGUAAAGGCCCACCAAGGCGACGAUCCGUAGCUGGUCUGAGAGGAUGGUCAGCCACACUGGAACUGAGACACGGUCCAGACUCCUACGGGAGGCAGCAGUGGGGAAUAUUGGACAAAGGGCGCAAGCCUGAUCCAGCCAUACCGCGUGGGUGAAGAAGGCCUUCGGGUUGUAAAGCCCUUUUGUUGGGAAAGAAAAGCAGCAGGUUAAUACCCCGCUCUUCUGACGGUACCCAAAGAAUAAGCACCGGCUAACUUCGUG
RNAcentral lists this ribosomal RNA (492 nucleotides) under uncultured bacterium. RNAcentral describes it as "partial 16S ribosomal RNA". It matches the Rfam family "Bacterial small subunit ribosomal RNA", at positions 29 to 507 of the family's 1533-position model. The record is from RNAcentral.